GCCCGCGUAGCGCAAUGGUUAACGCGUCAGACUUCUACUGGAAGUUUCUUUAGCAAAUCUGAAGAUUGUGGGUUCGACUCCCACCGUGGGUG
Molecule: non-coding RNA, 92 nt
Organism: Geotrichum reessii
Lineage: Eukaryota; Fungi; Ascomycota; Dipodascomycetes; Dipodascales; Dipodascaceae
Source: the annotation of a GenBank genome assembly